This 253-nucleotide ribosomal RNA is filed under the name uncultured bacterium. RNAcentral's name for it is "partial 16S ribosomal RNA". It matches the Rfam family "Bacterial small subunit ribosomal RNA", at positions 524 to 776 of the family's 1533-position model. The record is from RNAcentral.
UACGUAGGUGACCAGCGUUGUCCGGAUUUACUGGGCGUAAAGAGCGCGCAGGCGGUCGUUCAAGUCGAGUGUGAAAGCCCCCGGCUCAACUGGGGAGGGUCACUCGAUACUGAUCGACUUGAAGGCAGGAGAGGGAAGCGGAAUUCCCGGUGUAGUGGUGAAACGCGUAGAUAUCGGGAGGAACACCAGUGGCGAAGGCGGCUUCCUGGCCUGUUCUUGACGCUGAGGCGCGAAAGCUAGGGGAGCAAACGGG